AUCCCAGUUAAGAUUGAAUAUUGAAGUUCUUAAACUGAUUCAUGGGAGGCCAAAAUUAAGUGUUGGAAGUUUCGCUGAUAAAUGCCAUAUUUGAUUAUUACAUCAAGGUGUUUACUAGUAACUAUGCCGCAUAUUC
Small nucleolar RNA from Medicago truncatula (barrel medic), 136 nucleotides. NCBI's taxonomy places the organism in Eukaryota, Viridiplantae, Streptophyta, Magnoliopsida, Fabales, Fabaceae. The record is from Rfam.